AUGUACCACAAGGUGCACUCGUUCGGUCCAAGAUCUCGCCCUGAACAUUUGCAGUUGUACUUCUACGACGACGAUCCCAGCUUAAACCAUCGCAAGGAGGCCACCAAGCAAUUGGACCAGCACGUUGUCAGCAAGUUAGUGGACGUCCUCAGGGAAAACCCCUACUCCCAGCAGUUUAGGAGUUUGGGUGCCCAUAAGGAAAAUCUCGAGGAGUACCGGAUAGACCUCAACAUUGACCAGAAGCUAGACCAACGAAGAUAUAACAGACCCGUGUCAUCCGAGGUGGCUGCGAUUUGGGUCGAGGGAAGCGAUCUAGCAAACAGGUUCAACCGCAGCAUUACACUCUAUGGGGACAACAACGAGAAGUAUAGUAUACAUGCCACAGAUGGCUGUUAUGACCCGCUUUCGUAUCCCCUCUUUUUCCCAAGGGGGGAGCUUGGUUGGCAUCCAAAUAUCCCUAAGCACAAUGUCCCUUGGGAGGUUGCACAACAACCAAGAAGAAACCGUGAUAACGAUUCAGGUGCGCCUGGUUGGUAUGCUUAUAUGCCACAAAAAGUUCUCUAUCCUUCCAUAUGGUACCUAACCUUCUUAUUUCACGUCUUUCCACAGAGGGGAACAGCCGGUUGUGUGUCUCUGUCAGGGACUACUACUGUUACCGGCUACAGACGCGCCCUGCGAUAUUCAACCCCAUACUGCACGGAGCACGCCUGUUUCAGCAGUGGGGUGUCGACAUGUUCAUCAAGAUUGAGGGAUGUAGGCUGA
RNAcentral lists this ribosomal RNA (762 nucleotides) under Triticum aestivum (bread wheat). Its description in RNAcentral is "partial small subunit ribosomal RNA". Lineage: Eukaryota; Viridiplantae; Streptophyta; Magnoliopsida; Poales; Poaceae. The record is from RNAcentral.